CCUACGGGUGGCUGCAGUCGAGAAUCAUUCACAAUGGGGGAAACCCUGAUGGUACGACGCCGCGUGGGGGAAUGAAGUUCUUCGGAUUGUAAACCCCUGUCAUGUGGGAGAAAAUUAAAAAGACUGUACCACAAGAGGAUGAGACGGCUAACUCUGUGCCAGCAGCCGCGGUAAUACAGAGGUCUCACGGGUUGUUCGGAAUCACUGGGAGUACGGCGUGCGUAGGAUGUAUCUUAAGUCGUGGGUGAAAGGCGCGGGCUCAACCCGCGAACGGCAGAGGAUACUGGGAAACUGGAGUAAGUGAGGGGGAACCGGAAUUCUCGGUGUAGGAGUGAAAUGCGUAGAUAUCGAGAGGAACACUCGUGGCGAAGGCGGGUACCUGGACAUUAACUGACGCUGAGGAGCGAAGGCCAGGGGAGCGAAAGGGAUUAGAUACCCUUGUAGUC
This 446-nucleotide ribosomal RNA is filed under the name uncultured bacterium. RNAcentral's name for it is "partial 16S ribosomal RNA". It matches the Rfam family "Bacterial small subunit ribosomal RNA", at positions 338 to 795 of the family's 1533-position model. The record is from RNAcentral.